Molecule: long non-coding RNA, 8178 nt
Organism: Anolis carolinensis (green anole)
Lineage: Eukaryota; Metazoa; Chordata; Lepidosauria; Squamata; Anolidae
Exons: 4
Source: RefSeq, a predicted model, not a curated record
GGCCGUUUUGGAGGCGGGGCUUCUUCUUGGCUGUAAAUUGUAAAAUUUGCCUCAGACAAUCUCGGGACGCCGAGAGAGAAGGCAGCUUGGCCUGGGAGCCAUUCUGAAGGCCUGGGUCGGAAGAAAGAAAGAAAGAAAGAAAGAAAGGGCAGCCGCGGCUAGAAGGCCCGAAGAGACAGGCUCCGUUUCUGAAGCAGAAAUGGCAAAGCCUUGUGAAACGGACGGAAGAAAUAAAGGCAAAAUUUUUGAAAAUUUCCACAGCUUUUUCUGAAGGGACCAGCGCUGAAUUCAAGUCAACGUGAAGAAAGAAACAAAAGGUCGAGAGACAGAGGACGGAAGAUGCUUGAAGACACCCUCGCAAGGACACCGCCUGCCUCCCAAAAAAGGUCGUUUUCAGGGUAAUUGGUGUAAGGGUAGGCAUUUAAUGUCUAUCUUUGCAUUAAAAAAAGGGUUACCUUUGCACACGGUUCCCCUCGCGUGUGGCAUCGAAGAAGUCCCACUCGGGAACGGACGGGUCCUCCCUUUGUUCUAGGCAGAUGAUGGGUCUUCCUAUACGGGCCGUAGGGGUCACAGCUUGGGGGUCAGCGGGGGGGCCCGCCCUGGCAUCGCGGGGGGCAGCACACGUUACGGGCAUUUUAAGAUGUCCUUGCAACUUAGAAAUAAAAAUAUUAAUACCUUAACUCACUUACUAACAUCCUACUAACACCAUUCUAAAUAGGGUACCCUGCCCUUUUAAAUAGGACUGUGUUCUGCCUGAUGGCAAGAACCAAGCUGGGAAGGGAGGGGGCCUCCUGGCCCCCCAUAAAAGGGCCCCCAUGGAAGGACAUUGCAAAAGGCCCCUAAGGUGUCCUGAGAGCAGCCUCUUGGUCCUUAGUGUGUUCCCCACGGUGCCAGGGCUGGGCCCCUUGCUCUCCCCCAACCCAUGGACCCUGCCGCUUGUAUAUCAUCCGUCCAGGGCCAACGGACGCCCCCUCCCUCCCCGGGCGGAGCUUCGAGGCCACACUCAAGGGGAGACCAGAGCCGUGUGCCUCAUGCCAACGCCUAGCACGUGGCAAACCUUUUUUUUUUUACUGCAAACAUAGGCAUCAUGAUUGUGAUUUUUGUUAAUUCCUUUUAAAUUUAAUUGUUUGUAUUUGAUAGCAUGGUAGGCUGGUUUUAUAUCAGUGAGCCGCCCCGAGUCCCUCUGGGGAGACGGUGGCAGGGUACAAAAAUAAAAUUAUUAUUAUUACUAUUAUUGAUUCGAGGCACCUGGAAAAAGAAAUACCAGGAAGCAGAUAAAAUUAUUAUUAUUAUUAUUAUUAUUAUUAUUGAUUACAGGCACCUGGAAAAAGAAAUACCAGGAAGCAGAUAAAAUUAUUAUUAUUAUUAUUGUUGAUUACAGGCACUUGGAAAAAGAAAUACCAGGAAGCAGAUAAAAUUAUUAUUAUUAUUGAUUCCAGGAAAAAGAUAUACCAGGAAGCAGAUAAAAUUAUUAUUGUUAUUGUUGUUAUUAUUAUGUAGGACCCCCUUUUAUUUAUGUAAGGCCACACACCCAGGGGACCACUAUUCCUAAUUAAAGCCUGGUUAAAAGGGAUCCUCUAUUCUUAAAGUUAGGCGUAUAGAGAUCUCCUAUCCAGAAACUAAUGCGGCCUGCCCUAUAGAGAUCUGUUAAACCAAGGCGGCCUGCCCUAUAGAGAUCUCCUAUUUCACGUAACACCAGGCAAUAUGGAGAUCCCUGGUUUUUUUAACCGUUAAAUCCCUUACGUGGGGAUAUCCCUGGUUAUUUUAACCGUUAAAUCCCUUACGUGGGGAUAUCCCUGGUUAUUUUAACCUUUAAGUCCCUUACGUGGGGAAAUCCCUGGUUAUUUUAACCUUUAAGUCCCUUACGUGGGGAUAUCCCUGGUUAUUUUAACCGUUAAAUCCCUUACGUGGGGAAAUCCCUGGUUAUUUUAACCUUUAAAUCCCUUACGUGGGGAAAUCCCUGGUUUUUUUAACCUUUAAGGCCAGAUGUGGGGAUUUCCUUGCUUCUUUUAACCCGUGAGGCCAGCCAUGGGGAGAUAUCUUAGGCUGUUUUCAUGAAAAGUCAGGUAUAGACGCACUGUUUUCUCUCCCGUUCCAUGUGCCUGGACUCCCGGAGGGCUCCUGCCGGACACCGUCUCCCAUCGGCCGAGAGGGAUCCUUCCUGUCUGGGAAGGAUCUGCAACACAGGUAAAAAGAAGAUUCCGGGAAGGAGAUUCUACAGCGGAGCCCUUAAGCCAGGUGAGACACUCCUUCCAGCCUCCACGGCUGCCUUGCACACACACACACACACACACACACACACAUGACACACACAAACACACACGACACACACAAACACAUACACAUGUACAGCUGGUGCCCACGGGGACUCUUCCCCAAUAGAUCGGGGACUCCCACUCCGGCGAUUGGCCAUUGUAAAUGCCUUGAAGCAGUUUGGGGCUUCCGGCCAAGCGCUUGCAAAGAGAAUCCAUUCAAGGUUGGACCCCUUUUAAAGGGCCUGGCACGGGGGACCCCAGAUUAUUAACUUGAGGCCUGGGAAAAGGAGAUUUUUGUAUUUAUUUAUUACAAUAUUUAUAUCCCGCCCUCUCUCCCCUUAAAAGGGGACUCAGAGCAGCUUACGUUAUAUUUACAUAUUUAUUUAUUACAAUAUUUAUAUCCCAACCUCUCCCCUUAAAAGGGGACUCAGAGCGGCUUACAAGUUAUAUUUACAUAUUUAUUUAUUACCAUAUUUAUAUCCCUCCCUCUCUCCCCUUAAAAGGGGACUCAGAGCGGCUUACAAGUGAUAUUUACAUAUUUAUUUAUUACAAUAUAUCCGGCCCUCUCUCCCCUUAAAAGGGGACUCAGAGCGGCUUACAAGUGAUAUUUACAUAUUUAUUUAUUACAAUAUAUCCGGCCCUCUCCCCUUAAAAGGGGACUCAGAGCGGCUUACAAGUGAUAUUUACAUAUUUAUUUAUUACAAUAUUUAUAUCCGGCCCUCUCUCCCCUUAAAAGGGGACUCAGAGCGGCUUACAAGUGAUAUUUACAUAUUUAUUUAUUACAAUAUAUCCGGCCCUCUCUCCCCUUAAAAGGGGACUCAGAGCGGCUUACAAGUGAUAUUUACAUAUUUAUUUAUUACAAUAUAUCCGGCCCUCUCCCCUUAAAAGGGGACUCAGAGCGGCUUACAAGUGAUAUUUACAUAUUUAUUUAUUACAAUAUUUAUAUCCGGCCCUCUCUCCCCUUAAAAGGGGACUCAGAGCGGCUUACAAGUGAUAUUUACAUAUUUAUUUAUUACAAUAUAUCCGGCCCUCUCUCCCCUUAAAAGGGGACUCAGAGCGGCUUACAAGUGAUAUUUACAUAUUUAUUUAUUACAAUAUAUCCGGCCCUCUCCCCUUAAAAGGGGACUCAGAGCGGCUUACAAGUGAUAUUUACAUAUUUAUUUAUUACAAUAUUUAUAUCCGGCCCUCUCUCCCCUUAAAAGGGGACUCAGAGCGGCUUACAAGUGAUAUUUACAUAUUUAUUUAUUACAAUAUUUAUAUCCGGCCCUCUCUCCCCUUAAAAGGGGACUCAGAGCGGCUUACAAGUGAUAUUUACAUAUUUAUUUAUUACAGUAUUUAUAUCCCUCCCUCUCUCUCCUUAAAAGGGGACUCAGAGUGGCUUACAAGUUAUAUUUACAUAUUUAUUUAUUACAAUAUAUCCCGCCCUUCUCACCCAACAGGGGACUCAGGGCGGCUCAACAAUAAGACGCAUAUAUAAAAACCACACAGUGCAAUAUAAAUCAUCACUAACUUACAUCAGUAUUCAUAAAACACAUUAUAAAAUACAGAUAGGUGUGUUCAGUUCAAAUCCAUUCAAGGUAUACGUGGACCCCCUUUUAAUGCCAACCUUUCCACGUGGAAAACUAUUUGUAAGGCAAACCCUCGUUAAAGGAGGUUUGCAAUUAAUUUAAAACCAGGCUUCUGAGGGAUCCGCUGCGUUUAAAGCCAAACCUAGCAGGUGGGAACCCCUUUGGUUAACGCAAGGUGAGGGACCCUCCAUUUUUAAUAGGAUGCCUGGGAGAAUCUUAACCUAAAAGCAGGCCUAUGGGCUACAGCCUAUUCUGCAUAGCCAGGCAUGGGGGGACCCCAUAUGAUUAAUUUGAAGCCUGGUAAAAGGAGAUUUUUGUAUUUAUUACAUUUAUAUCCCGCCCUCUCCCCUUAAAAGGGGACUCAGAGCGGCUUACGAGUUAUAUUUACAUAUUUAUUUAUUUAUUACAAUAUUUAUAUCCCGCCCUCUCUCCCCUUAAAGGGGACUCAGGGCAGCUUAACAAUAAGACGCAUAUAUAAAAAACCAUACAGUGCAAUGUAAGUCAUCAUUAACUUACAUCAGUAUUCAUAAAACACAUCAUAAAAUACAGAUAGGUGUAUUACAUACACUGUAUCAUUAGCAUCGCACAAUAUUAGCAUUAUAUAUUACUACAUUGCAUUAUACCACUAUACAGAAAUGUUAUUAGCAAUAUUACAUUUAAUAUAUUAUAUGUAAUUCAUAUUAUUAUAUUGUAUCAUUGUUAGUAUUAUAUUGCAUUAUUUAUUUAUUUGCUAGAUGUAUAUGCUGCCCUUCUCACCCCCAAGGUGAACAGCUUACAAAAUAAAUUUACAUACAAUAUUAUAUUAUUACCAUAGUACAAUACUGGCAGUAAAUUACUAUAUUGUACUAUAUGAAUAUAUGGUAAUGUUAUUAGUAGUAUUACAUGCAAAAUGUAAUACAUAAUUAAUAUUAUAUUUUAUUAUUAGUAUAUCGUAUUACAAUAUAAUAAUAUGAACAUUAUAUGUAUAUGCAAUAUGUUAUAAUUAUAUAUUAAAUUAUAUAUAUACACACACACACACACAGUAGUCAUCCAACAUAAAAGGGCCAGCGAAUAUUUAUUUAUUUAUUUACAGCAUUUUACCGGGCUGGCCUCAAACUCAUGACCUCCUGGUCAGAGUGAUUUGUUGAUAUUUAUUUAUUUACAGCAUUUAUAUUCCGCCCUUCUUUCUCACCCCGAAGGGGACUCAGGGCGGAUCACAUGACACAUAUAGGCAAACAUUCAAUGCCUUUUAACAUAGAACAAAGACAAACAAACAGGCUCCGAGCGGGCCUCGAACUCGUGACCUCCUGGUCAGAGUGAUCCAUUGCAGUUAAUUGCAGCUGGCUUGCUUUCCAGCCUGCGCUGUUGGAUAAUAAGGAGGCAUUAUGGAAAAGCCUAUUAAACAUCAAAUUAGUUGGUGAUUUUACAAAUUAAGCACCAAAACAUUUGACAGAAAAAGUAGCUCAAUAUGCAGUAAUGCUAUGUAGUAAUUACUGUAUUUACGGAUUUAGCACCAAAAUAUCACAACGCAUUGAAAACAUGGACUACAAAAAUGCGUUGGAUAAUCCAGAAUGUUGGAUAAUCCAGAAUGUUGGAUGAGACUCUACUGUAUAUACAAUAUAAAUUAGAAUAGCAUGUUAUUGGGGGAGGAGCAUCUUGGUUCUUAGAUGUUUAUAUUAGUUAUUGAUAUUAGUAUAGAUAUGACAUUGAGUAUAUUAUUAUCCUAGCACAAUGUUAAUAUUAGUUAUUCAUAUUAGUCUCAAUAUGACAUUAAUAGAGUAUAUUAUUAUCCUAGCACAAUGUUAUUACAUAGGACUAUGUUGUUGCGAGGGGGAGGGCCCCCCCACUGAGAUCCCCUGUCAUUAAUGUGUCAGACCAGGCAUUUCACUCCUACCUUUGCAUCAGAAAGCAGGCUCCCUGUGCGCUAGGCCUUCCUUUGAGGAACACAUUCACGGCUCCGCUUGAGUGUGGCAUUGAGGCCCCACUCUGGGACGGGCGGGUCCUCCCUUUGCCCUGGGCAGAUCGUGGGGGGUGGGCGGAUCUCCCUAGACGGGCAGGGGGUCGCGGCUGGCGGGACAGCGGGAUAUAAAAAUAUAAAUAUAUAUAUUAAAACCCUUGCACCCAAGGAAACAACUCUGGGGACCCGAGCGGCCGCUCCCAGUGCACGUCACGGGCAUUUUAAACAUCUCGUAGCAGCUCAGAUUAAUACCUGAACUAACCUUAACCUGCUAACCCUACUAACCCAAUUCUUAACUAGAGCAGCACUUGUAAAUAGGGCUGUUUUUGCCUGUUGGCAAGAACCAAGUUGGGAGGGGGCCUCCGGGCCUCGGGUGGGAAGAAGGCCCCCCUGUCCCUGCCCUGCGCUGGGAGCGCCCCCCCUCGGGACCCCAGUGUUUAGGUCGCCGGAUUGGAGGAGAGCGGGGACCAGAAAGCCCCUCCGCCAUCCGCCCAGGGCCAAUGGACGCCCCUCCCUCCCUCCCUCCCCGGCAGCCGCGUUCCUCAUGCAACAGGGAGCCUGGUUCUGGAUGCAAACGUGGGACCCCCUUAGGACCCCCUUUUCUCUGUGCAGGGACCCCCACUCCCCAUAAAUAAAUGCCUGGUGGAAGGGGAUCCUCUGUCCUGGGGAGAAAAAGCGACAUGCGUCAAGCUGUGGCUUUGCUCCCGCAGUUCCCAAGAGCCCCCAAAAGCGAGAUGCUCCCUUGGUUCUGCCCUUCUGACACUUGUUUUCUCCCUUGUUCCAUGUCUCCGGAAUCGCCGAGGGAGGGGCUCCUCCUGGACAAGAGCCACGGACGGACGGACAGACGGACGGAGAUCACGGAGAGCAGGACGCCUGGCCUUUCCGGAUGCUGAGCUCGACCCCUUUCCAACAAUGUCAGCGUUUAAGAAUAAAACUUCCCAAAAAAAGGUGUUUUCUGGUUAUUAUUCAAACAUUGAAUUUUUGGCAGCCUUAAACAUCUAGAUUACAAUACAGUUUGUGCUGCUGCAUUUUACAAACCUGACCUUGUUUUCUACAAAUAAAGUUGAGAGAAACACCUGUGUAAGUUUUGCACUAGGCUCAGACUCAUUGUUCUGAUAGGCUGUUAUAUGGUUAUUAUUGAAAGGCAUAAUGUUUUUGGCAGCAUUAAACAUCUAGAUUACAAUACAGUUUGUGCUGCUGCCUUUUAUAAACCUCGUUUUCUACAAAUAAAGUCAAGAGAAACACUAAGUUUUGCACUGUGCUCAGACUCAUUGUUCUGAUAGGCUGUUAUAUGGUUAUUAUUGAAAGGCAUAAUGAGUUUUUGGCAGCAUGAAACAUCUAGAUUACAAUACACUUUGUGCUGCUGCCUUUUAUAAAUCUUGUUUUCUACAAAUAAAGUUGAGAGAAACACCUGUAUAAGUUUUGCAGUCAUUGUUCUGAUAUUCUGUUAUAUGGUUUUAUUGUUAAUAUUGUUUUUAAUGUAUGACUAUUACAUGUGACAUGGGAGCAGGAUAUAAAAAUGAAGUAUUAUUAAUAAACACCACAAUUUUCUUGCACCCCAAGUACAUCUGGCCAUUGCCAAAAAGUAUUUAACUCUGCCUACAUGGCACUAAAGUGUAUUUAUAUGUUGAUUUGUUUCUAUUGAUUGUAUGUAAUGUUUGCUUUAUUUGCAUUGAAUUUUUGCCUAGAUGUAUCUUGUAUGCCGCUCAUCUCCAUAAAUGAGCGGGAUACAAAUGAGGUUAAUAAUGUUACGAAUGUUUUAAUGUAACUUGAAUUUUAAAUUGAAUUGAAAUGUGAUUGUAAUUGUUUAUAAGUGUGUUAUCUAUUUGUCAGCCACCCUGAUUCUCCCCUUAUUGGGUGAGAAGGUCUGGGAAGAAAUUCAUAAAUAAAUAAAAUAUUCUGUGUCCAGGUUGCUUCAUGGGUUGACUUCUCUGGCAGGAUUAGUCUGCAGGGCCUUUCCUGUGGGCAAGUUUACACGGACUACCAAGCAUGGAGCAGGCAAGGCACUGCAGACACUCCUGCGCAUGCGCGGGCUGCUCCCUAUUCGUAUGAACCUGGCCCCGCCCACUACAGGCAUUUUCUCUUCGACUGCGCGGCCUCCAUAUUUGAGGGAACUUGGCCCCGCCCACUACAGGCACCCCUUUCCCUUCUGCGGCUGCGCGGCCUCCGUCACAGGGCGGCAAGAUGGUUUCCCGGCCCGAAAGUGAGUGACGGCACGGUCCCCAAGCGGAAGCGGAAGCGCAUCUCCGAAGGGAACUCCGUCUCGUCCUCCUCGUCAUCCUCCUCCUCUUCCCACCUGGAGACCACGUCAAACAACAACCAGUUUCCCCUGAUGGUAAGUCAUUAUCCUCCUCACCGUAGCAAGUUUGGGAGUCAAUUUCAAAAUAAUUCCAAUAAAAUGUCAUUACUUGAAGCAUCA